AAAACGUGCUCACAAAAUAUAAAAGAUCAAACUACCUAAGGGAGAAAACUUGAAAGUAAAAACUACGAAUGUGACUAUGGAGUCUUUAGGCGUCCCCUUCGUCGUCCUCCUGCGGAACCGGCUCGGGAACGAUGUCCUCUUGAUCUGAAAUGAUUAAAUAAGGAAUGAGCUACACUAGCCCAGUAAAGACAUCACGAUAUCUCACCGUCACGGAGGUAAAGGUUGGUAGAAAACACAAAAAAAAGACCAAUGGAGCAUAAUUUAUGACAAAUCCUUUCAUCGAUAAUAAAAUCUUUACCAUUCACUUACCUCGGUGAAAUUCAUAAAACAAUAUACGAAAGCAAUAACAUCAUCAUCAUCAUGAAAACAUAUAUAUGAACUGUAUAACAUAAUACCUAUCACACUUUUCGUAAUUCAAUCGUUACACAACAUAUUUUCCUAAUUCACCAGCCCACUAGUAUCCAUGAGGAUCUAUAGGGGUCUCGCUACCCGUUAAUCCUUAACACUUGAAAU
Molecule: long non-coding RNA, 513 nt
Filed under: Carica papaya (papaya)
Lineage: Eukaryota; Viridiplantae; Streptophyta; Magnoliopsida; Brassicales; Caricaceae
Description: long non-coding RNA (CPAP_LNC001597)
Source: RNAcentral